AAGAAAGAUAAAAAAAUGUUGAGAAGAAGAAUUCAUGGGAUGGGUAUCAAAAUCAGAAAUCAGCCAUCGAGCCCAUAGAAAAAAAACAGAGGAAGUCACAGAAAUCAAAGCAAUUUUAUUAUGCAAAUAGAUAGAAAAAUAAAAGAGAGUGAGAUAGAAAGGGUCCCUAUCCCUAUUCGCCCAUUCUGAUAAAGGAUGUGACUCAGCUUCUUUCCUAAAGGGAGUCUGUAGAUUAUAGAUACCCAUUUCCAAACUUAAAAAGUCAUCUCUUUUCCUCCAUUAACACAAGCAGGUCAAGUCCCAAGACUCUGCCUUUUCUCAUCCGUUCAUCCUCCCUGCCUAUGGACAAUUCUACUUCAACAGCUUCUUCUACUCACACAACCUUAUCAAAGCCAAAAUGGGUUCUUCCUUACCGCACCCAGAACCUCAGAGACCAUUACUCCAUAGGCAAAAAGCUUGGCCAAGGUCAGUUUGGUACCACUUAUCUUUGUACCCAUAAGCCCUCAGGUCUUAACUAUGCCUGCAAAUCCAUCCCCAAAAGGAAGCUCCUUUGCAAAGAAGACUAUGAAGAUGUUUGGAGAGAAAUCCAGAUAAUGCACCACCUAUCUGAG
Molecule: unclassified non-coding RNA, 611 nt
Filed under: Hevea brasiliensis (rubber tree)
Lineage: Eukaryota; Viridiplantae; Streptophyta; Magnoliopsida; Malpighiales; Euphorbiaceae
Source: RNAcentral